GAGGUCCCAAGCGUUGUUCGGAUUCACUGGGCGUAAAGGGUGCGUAGGUGGUAAGGCAAGUCAGGUGUGAAAUCUCCGGGCUCAACCCGGAAAUGGCAUUCGAAACUACCUUGCUAGAGGAUUUGAGGGGGGACUGGAAUACUUGGUGUAGCAGUGAAAUGCGUAGAUAUCAAGUGGAACACCAGUGGCGAAGGCGAGUCCCUGGAAAACUCCUGACACUGAGGCACGAAAGCUAGGGGAGCAAACAGGAUUAGAUACCCUGGUAGUCCUAGCCCUAAACGGUGCUUGCUUGCUGUAAGAGGAAUCGACCCCUCUUGUGGCGGAGCUAACGCGUUAAGCAAGCCGCCUGGGAAGUACGGUCGCAAGAUUA
RNAcentral lists this ribosomal RNA (370 nucleotides) under uncultured organism. RNAcentral's name for it is "bacterial SSU rRNA". It matches the Rfam family "Bacterial small subunit ribosomal RNA", at positions 528 to 896 of the family's 1533-position model. The record is from RNAcentral.